RNAcentral lists this long non-coding RNA (961 nucleotides) under Olea europaea subsp. europaea. Lineage: Eukaryota; Viridiplantae; Streptophyta; Magnoliopsida; Lamiales; Oleaceae. The record is from RNAcentral.
CCAAACUAAACCCAAUUCUAGCCGAAGCCCUAAUUUGAAGACGGACUCUGCUCGUCUAUGCCACUGCGAGCCAAUCUCAGUCUUUGAUUUCUGUACCUCUUUGGCUCUUUCCCUUCACAGUUGCACAGCCAUUUGCCGAAGCAUUUGAGGACAGGUAAUUUUUUUAGUAUUUUUCUCGCAAUUUUAUUAAGUGUUUACAAAUUACAAUUUUCGUUUUGACAGUUUGCAUGUGUUAAUUUCUUUUCGGAAUUUUGCUUGUUUACGAGUUUUAGAAUUUCACUUUUUUUUGUUUGUUGCAGUGAGUUUGUGGCUUUUUCUGUUAGUACAAUUUGUUCCUUAAACAUAGAGAUUAUAUGUGUUGUUGUUCAUAUCAUGGAUCAAAUUUAAUCAUAUAAAUAAGAAUUAUUUUUAUUCAAAUAGCAGAACGUUUAGAAACUAAUAUCAAGUUUUUCAUAAUUUAUAAUUCUAAUUGAAUAGGAACCUAUAGCCAGUGGCGGAGUCAGUACCCGACGAGGUGCCGAGGUCGCCAGUGUUGAAGUCGUUGAAAUUUACAAGUGCAUUCGUGUGGUUGAAGAUUUCAGAGCUGCUAUGACCUUGAAGACAAGGAACUGCCGAACCAUGGAAGAUGAGCACAACUCAUAAUCGUAGGAUCAGAAAGCCCAACGCCCAAUUCCAAACUCUAUAUUCUACCUCCCCUCCCGAGUCCUGACUCUUGUUGUCUCCUACUCUUGUUUUCUAUGUUCCAAUGCAGUUGAACUAAUAAUAGAAUGGUAUUUUGAUAUGAAAACUAUCGAAAUGAUCAAUGCUAGGAUGAUUAAUGAUUUUAAUCUGUUCUCUAAUAAUUUGGCAAAACAUUAUUUAUUUUUCCAUAAAGGAAAAUGCUACUCAUUUGUGUAAUUUUCGUAAUUUUCAAGUUAAAGUUGAACAUGCAUUGCACGUUAUUCUAAAAUUCUUUAUAAAU